RNAcentral lists this ribosomal RNA (253 nucleotides) under uncultured bacterium. RNAcentral describes it as "partial 16S ribosomal RNA". It matches the Rfam family "Bacterial small subunit ribosomal RNA", at positions 524 to 776 of the family's 1533-position model. The record is from RNAcentral.
UACGUAGGGUGCGAGCGUUGUCCGGAAUUAUUGGGCGUAAAGAGCUCGUAGGCGGUCUGUCACGUCGGCUGUGAAAACACGGGGCUCAACUCCGUGCCUGCAGUCGAUACGGGCAGACUAGAGUUCGGUAGGGGAGACUGGAAUUCCUGGUGUAGCGGUGAAAUGCGCAGAUAUCAGGAGGAACACCGGUGGCGAAGGCGGGUCUCUGGGCCGAAACUGACGCUGAGGAGCGAAAGCGUGGGGAGCGAACAGG